RNAcentral lists this transfer RNA (89 nucleotides) under Micromonospora polyrhachis. Its description in RNAcentral is "tRNA-Val". The record is from RNAcentral. Lineage: Bacteria; Bacillati; Actinomycetota; Actinomycetes; Micromonosporales; Micromonosporaceae.
GGAGGGGCCGAGUAGAGGCAUAGCGAGCUGCGCUCGGAGAAGCCCUGACAAGGCGCCGAAGGACCCGGGUUCGAUUCCCGGCACCUCCA